GACGAACUGUCCUAACGUUGUUCGGAAUCACUGGGCUUAAAGGGCGCGUAGGCGGUCGAACAAGUCAGGGGUGAAAUCCUGCAGCUUAACUGUAGAAGUGCCUCUGAUACUGGAUGGCUUGAGUUUGGGAGAGGGAUGCGGAAUUCCAGGUGUAGCGGUGAAAUGCGUAGAUAUCAGAAGGAAGGCCGGUGGCGAAGGCGGCUUCCUGGAACAGACCUGACACUGAGAGACGAAAGCGUGGGGAGCAAACAGG
Molecule: ribosomal RNA, 253 nt
Filed under: uncultured Leptospirillum sp.
Lineage: Bacteria; Pseudomonadati; Nitrospirota; Nitrospiria; Nitrospirales; Nitrospiraceae
Description: partial 16S ribosomal RNA
Rfam family: Bacterial small subunit ribosomal RNA
Source: RNAcentral